Molecule: ribosomal RNA, 460 nt
Filed under: uncultured bacterium
Lineage: Bacteria
Description: partial 16S ribosomal RNA
Rfam family: Bacterial small subunit ribosomal RNA
Source: RNAcentral
CCACGGGUGGCAGCAGUGAGGAAUAUUGGUCAAUGGGCGGGAGCCUGAACCAGCCAAGUCGCGUGAGGGAAGACGGUCCUACGGAUUGUAAACCUCUUUUGCCGGGGAGCAACAGGGUCCUUGCGAGGGCCCGAUGAGAGUACCCGGAGAAAAAGCAUCGGCUAACUCCGUGCCAGCAGCCGCGGUAAUACGGAGGAUGCAAGCGUUAUCCGGAUUUAUUGGGUUUAAAGGGUGCGUAGGCGGGCUGUUAAGUCAGCGGUGAAAGUUUGUGGCUCAACCAUAAAAUUGCCGCUGAUACUGGUUGACUAGAGUAUAUUUGAGGUAGGCGGAAUGUGUGGUGUAGCGGUGAAAUGCAUAGAUAUCAAGCAGAACUCCGAUUGCGAAGGCAGCUUACUAAACUAUAACUGACACUGAAGCACGAAAGCGUGGGGAGCAAACAGGAUUAGAUACCCGUGUAGUC